Molecule: ribosomal RNA, 1611 nt
Filed under: Triticum aestivum (bread wheat)
Lineage: Eukaryota; Viridiplantae; Streptophyta; Magnoliopsida; Poales; Poaceae
Description: partial small subunit ribosomal RNA
Source: RNAcentral
CUCCUCGGGCUAACCUACUCUCUUUUGGGUUCAGCUGCGAGAGAGAAAGGGGGAGGAGCGGCAGCGACGUAGGACCGCAGCAGCAACGCAGCAGGAGGAGGGGUAGGGUGGAGAAGGGAAGGGCAGCGGAUGGGAGGGACGGAGCGGAGAAGAGAGGGAAGGGCAGCGGGUGGGAGGGGCGUAGCGGAGAAGAGGAAACGCAGCGGAUCCAACCCGUCUCGGCGACCCGAGUAGAAGGAGCGACCGGCGGCGAGGGUAGCGGUGUGGCGUGCUCUCCCACUUCUCCUGCUUGGUUCCGCGGAGGAUGUAGCUCGGGAGGAGUCAAACAAGGCCUAGACUGGCGUGUGAAGUGCAGGCGGUAGGCAACAUACAGCAAGCGAGCCAACGGCGGUACCAUUGGGAACGAGUUCAGCACCUCCCCGCCGACCAUCGCCACUUACCUCCUCUAGGUGGUGACCACCGUUCCUUUUGCUCAGUUGUAGCUACGGUAGGCCGCGGAGGCGGGGCGCUGGGAUUAAACUACUUCUUACUACGGGUAACCAACCGUAAAUACUAUAUCGAAGGCUGCAGCCUCCAAGGUAUCUUAAACACUUCUCUUCAUGUAGUUAUCUUUCUGGAAAGAAGACCAUGAAUAGCUACAUCUAACCCGUACCUAACAACGGAGUGUAAAGAAAGUUCGUCAGUGCUGAAACCGACCAACCCCCAAAGAACAGACGAGUCAAAACACGUCGGACAUGAACCGGAUCGCGAGCGACUCUUGGUCUUCGAUCCCGGUAAGUACAUCGACGAUGGGUACACGUCGUUCGACGAGUUGGUUCCACUCUAUACGAUUAGAGGGUCAAUGACGAAACAGUCGACCUACCACACUAAAAUGAAGUAAUCACCCUCACCCUCACAACAAGGAGACAGGUUCCCUAAGUGAUAGAAGUCACUCACGUUAGUAAAACAAAUUUACCUCCACAAUCUAGAUUUAAAUGUAACUGACGUAGUGUGAGAUUACAGAAAACCAAUCUAGUUGGACAUCUUGUUUGAUAUACGACCGGUAGUAGUACAAAAUCGGAAAAUCCAUAUAAUCUAUUCAUAUAGAUUCUUUACCGAUCACAGAACACUCCUAACUCUUUUCAUCACCAAACACAAUGACACUUACUAGUAUGUUUAAUACAACCUAAACCAAGAAUACACGUAUACGAAAAACUAUAGAAGGAAACCGGCCAAUCACAGAUAGGUAAUAUAAUAAUAUAACACAGAUACCACUUUUGAUUGGAUUGUCCACAACCCCUUGCAACGUACCUUUUGUUUUUUUUAGGAUGCGUGUGCGUUCUAGAUAGGUACCUCUACGUAUCGAUGCUCUCCCCCUCUCGUAGAUGUAUUGGAACAUCUAGCGAUUCGCCUUCGCAAAUAGUUGCGCCAACUACAUCAGCGUGUAGAAGUGCUAGGCAGGGCUAGUUCAUGGCUUACAUGCAGUGGAGACGCAAGUCGUGUGCAAGUCGAGCUACUACAGGAGCGAAAGAGCUAGGUCGUUUUCUCUGCUUCAUCAUCUAAUCAAGGCUGUCGUGCUGCCUCACCCCUACCACCACCACUUUGAUAGGCAUCCCGAAACGGUUCGUGUUG